CUGUUUAAAUUUGUGAAUUAACUACUCAUAUUUUACUACUAAAUAUCAUGUUUUAGGUUUCCAACGAAUAUUUUAAUAGGAGAUGAAUGGGUAGCUGCUUUACGACUGAGCCGAAAUGAACUACAACGACAGCCAUCCUCAUCUAGUUGGUUUGUUCAAACCAUUUUGAUAAAGCUGACAUGUACAGUACAAAACGUGGACUUCGCAGAGUACCAUCAAGUACAUGCUGCU
RNAcentral lists this unclassified non-coding RNA (231 nucleotides) under Melitaea cinxia (Glanville fritillary). Its description in RNAcentral is "misc RNA ENSMCXG00005008014.1". Lineage: Eukaryota; Metazoa; Arthropoda; Insecta; Lepidoptera; Nymphalidae. The record is from RNAcentral.